Molecule: long non-coding RNA, 671 nt
Filed under: Prunus dulcis (almond)
Lineage: Eukaryota; Viridiplantae; Streptophyta; Magnoliopsida; Rosales; Rosaceae
Description: sRNA ncRNA
Source: RNAcentral
CCCUAGGCUGCGGCAAUGGUGCGAAGGCAUCAUAUUAUGAGCGACAGUUAUUCUUCUCCCCGGGUAAAUCUAUCAAGCUCUUUUUCGCUCUUUUAAUCUUGGAGACCACAAUCUUUGAGUAGUUGGAGGUAGCAGUAGCAGUAGCAUGUGUGAUCUAAUUGGUUACGCUCUUUUCUUGAGUUUGAAGAAGACUUGGUUCAGAUCAGGAGCCAUUAGACCAGGUGAAGCAUUCGGUUACUUCAAUUACAUGUUGAUUGGUCUUUGUACAGUUCGACCGUGAUUUCUUUGUAUAAACAAAUGAGUUAAUUGUUAUUGUCAUUUGAACGAGGGUGGACUUGGGUUUCAUUCGAGUUUACAUCCUUAUUCAAAUUACAUAAAUUGAAAAUUUGUUAUAUGUGUUAAUUAGAGUAUCACUCUUUGAAGUGACGUUGAAUCUUAGAUAUCGAAUUUGGAAAUUGAAGAUUUUGGCAAGAUUAAUAAAAAUCUAUCUACGAAUGAAAAUUGUGUUAGCAUUUAUUAUUGUAAUGGAUGUGGAGUAGAAUAUUUAUUGGGCUUAGUGAUACCAUCUUAAAGAUGAUACUUGGCUACCCUGGAAAAGAAGCAUUUUCUGUAUUUUCUGUUCGUAUGUAUGGACGGUAUAAUAUUUGUACUAAAUUGUAUUUAAAUGAAAU